RNAcentral lists this ribosomal RNA (440 nucleotides) under uncultured bacterium. RNAcentral's name for it is "bacterial SSU rRNA". It matches the Rfam family "Bacterial small subunit ribosomal RNA", at positions 338 to 795 of the family's 1533-position model. The record is from RNAcentral.
CCUACGGGUGGCUGCAGUGGGGAAUAUUGCACAAUGGGGGAAACCCUGAUGGAGCAACGCCGCGUUCGCGAUGAGGGCCUUCGGGUCGUAAAGCUCUGUCCUAAUGGAAGAAUACAGACGGUACCUUAGGAGGAACCCGCGGCGAAUUACGUGCUUGCAGCGGCGGUAAUACGUAGGGGGCUAGCGUUAUCCGGAAUUACUGGGCGUAUAGGGUGCGUAGGCGGCCCUUCAAGUCGGGGGUGAAAGGCUAAGGAUCGUUAGUAGUAAGCCUUUGAAACUGUCGGGCUGGAGGGCAGGUGAGGAGAAGGGAAUUACAAGACGAGUAGGGAGAUGCGUAGAUAGUGGGAGGAACACCGGUCGCGAAAGGAUCUCCGUGGACCGUAAAUUAAGCUGAGAAACGAAAGCGUGGGGAGCGAGCAGUAAAGGAUGCUGGGGGAGUC